CCUACGGGAGGCAGCAGUGGGGAAUAUUGGGCAAUGGAGGAAACUCUGACCCAGCGACGCCGCGUGCGGGAUGAAGGCCUUCGGGUUGUAAACCGCUUUCAGUAGGGAAGAAGCGAAAGUGACGGUACCUACAAAAGAAGCACCGGCUAACUAUGUGCCAGCAGCCGCGGUAAUACAUAGGGUGCAAGCGUUGUCCGGAAUUAUUGGGCGUAAAGAGCUCGUAGGUCGUUUGUUACGUCGGAUGUGAAAACCUGAGGCUCAACCUCAGGCCUGCAUUCGAUACGGGCAAACUAGAGUUUGGUAGGGGAGACUGGAAUUCCUGGUGUAGCGGUGGAAUGCGCAGAUAUCAGGAGGAACACCAAUGGCGAAGGCAGGUCUCUGGGCCAAUACUGACACUGAGGAGCGAAAGUCUGGGGAGCGAACAGGAUUAGAUACCCUGGUAGUCCAGACCGUAAACGGUGGGCACUAGUUGUGGGAACCUUCACGGUUUCUGCGACGCNGCUACGCAUAGUAGCCCGCCGUCGGGAGGUACGAGCGCGAGAGUAAACGUACGAAAGGAAGUAGUAACGGUCGUGAGACGUGCGACGGACGACGACGAGGGAGGAGG
This 607-nucleotide ribosomal RNA is filed under the name uncultured bacterium. Its description in RNAcentral is "bacterial SSU rRNA". The stretch from base 1 to 520 matches the Rfam family "Bacterial small subunit ribosomal RNA", at positions 338 to 873 of the family's 1533-position model. The record is from RNAcentral.